GCCAGACGCAGUGGCGUGUGCCUGUCGUCCCAGCUACUUGGGAAGCUGAGGCUGGAGAAUCCCUUGAGUUCAGGAGUUCUGGGCUGUAGUGCACUAUACUGAUCAGGUGUCCUCACUAAGUUUGGCAUCAAUAUGGUGACCUCCGGGGAGCGGGGGAUCACCAGGUUGCCUAAGGAGGGGUGAACCGGCCCAGGUUGGAAACUGAGCAGGUUAAAACUCCCGUGCUGAUCAGUAGUGGGAUUGCACCUGUGAAUAGCCACAGCCCUCCAGACUGAGCAACAUAGUGAGACCCUGCCUCU
RNAcentral lists this signal recognition particle RNA (299 nucleotides) under Cebus imitator (Panamanian white-faced capuchin). Its description in RNAcentral is "Metazoan signal recognition particle RNA (ENSCCAG00000009034.1)". It matches the Rfam family "Metazoan signal recognition particle RNA". From Rfam's summary of the family: The signal recognition particle (SRP) is a universally conserved ribonucleoprotein. The record is from RNAcentral. Lineage: Eukaryota; Metazoa; Chordata; Mammalia; Primates; Cebidae.